GAUUAACGCUGGCGGCGUGCCUAACACAUGCAAGUCGAGCGGCAGCGAGUUUUACACUGAAUUCUGGAAGCUUCUAGUUGAAAGAGAAGAUUUAUUCAAGAAUUUUGUGUAAAAUGUCGGCGAGCGGCGGACGGCUGAGUAACGCGUGGGGACGUACCCCAAAGUGAGGGAUAACGCAUCGAAAGGUGUGCUAAUACCGCAUAUGGUCUUCGGAUUAAAGCCUUCGGGCGCUUUGGGAACGGCCUGCGUAAGAUUAGAUAGUUGGUGGGGUAAUGGCCUACCAAGUCGACGAUCUUUAACUGGUUUGAGAGGAUGAUCAGUCAGACUGGAACUGAGACACGGUCCAGACUCCUACGGGAGGCAGCAGUGAGGAAUCUUCCACAAUGGGCGAAAGCCUGAUGGAGCAACGCCGCGUGCAGGAUGAAGGCCUUCGGGUUGUAAACUGCUUUUAUAAGUGAGGAUUAUGACAGUAACUUAUGAAUAAGGAUCGGCUAACUACGUG
This 502-nucleotide ribosomal RNA is filed under the name uncultured bacterium. RNAcentral's name for it is "partial 16S ribosomal RNA". It matches the Rfam family "Bacterial small subunit ribosomal RNA", at positions 28 to 507 of the family's 1533-position model. The record is from RNAcentral.